This is a long non-coding RNA of Aedes albopictus (Asian tiger mosquito), 1495 nucleotides long. RefSeq lists it as uncharacterized. The transcript has 2 exons. NCBI's taxonomy places the organism in Eukaryota, Metazoa, Arthropoda, Insecta, Diptera, Culicidae. The record is from RefSeq and is a predicted model, not a curated record.
UAUAAUUUCAUCAACAGAUUCAAAUAUCAAUAUGAAACUGACCUUCAAUCAGUACAUCAAUGCCCACUAUAGAUCAAUUAAUUACAUUGCGCCGAACAGUUAGGCAAUUUUCUCGCUAUGAAAAGCUUUAAUCGGCCUUCAAUCGGCCGCGAAUGAGAUAUCCGAAGGUCAAGUACGUUUGGAAUUUCCGGAGAAAGUCGGGGAAGAAAAAGUUGCGACCGAGCCCAAACUGAGCGAGCCUUCAACGUAAGCCGUUACACUGCCGAACCAUUUCGAAGAAGCUCGGGGGAAAUAUCGAACUUCCGUUAAGUUCGGUCGAUGGCACCUUCCCUAAUCUGAGGAUCACGGUUUCAUUUUACUUUCGUUCGAUCCGCAGAUUAGUGUAGAAGUGUCGUUGUUAACCUUGUAGAAAUAGCCGUUGAAUGUGAGUGAAAGUAACGUGGUGAUAUUUCUUUAGUUUAAUUGUUCUUUUUGUUAGUUCCUAGUUUUCAGUCCAAGUUAGGAAAGAAGUGCGUAGGGUUUGUGCGUUUACCUCGACAGAUUACCAGCCCACUGGCUAGAUUCUUCCACAGCGACGCUUCUCUGCCGAUCGACUCGGAACUUCCGGCGAACGAAUACUGCCGAAGAAGAGGCACGUCAACACGCCGCUUAGCGAACUUCUGUGGUCGUCUACUGCCACUUGUCAGGCCCGUCUUGAAGGUCGUUCAAGGUUUCGCAAGAACACCCCCCCCCCACGUGACAGACCACCCCGUACACGUGGUCCAAGCGGUCGAUCCACCGGCGCGACACACCAGGAGCGCAGAAACAAUCAGCAGGUCAGCAAAAACCACGUAGCUGCUCGGUGAGUCGUUUCCUUUUUUGCACCGUCUUUUUUUGUGGAGUGGGGCGUCCGGUGAGGACGCCUCGGAGAAGUUUUUUGCCGACCAUAAGGUCGAGAAUAAUUUUGGACGUCUAGUCGGAAACAGCGUUCGCAAAUGUAAGGUUGGGUGGUUGCUUGGAUUCAAAAGCGUGCGCACGUAGUUUAUGGAAGCUCCACCCAACCCUAUUGUUUAAGUCACCCGGGUGCAUCAAGCCUCCAUAGCUAGCUUGCCGCAUCGUCAAGGGAGAAAAUAUCAAUGGAUCGUGUACACGAAUAGAGCACAAGAACAAGAUAGAAGGAUAGAUAGAAAAGAAACGCACAAGAGAGCAGGACUGAAACAGGUACACGUUGUAAAAGUAUAUUAGGGAACAAAUAGCAUGUGAGUAGAAUAAACUUUCGUUUCUGUUAUUUAUUGAAUAAACGUGUUUAGUCUCUUAAGUAUUAUUGUGUUAGUAAGUUAUACUACAGUCCUGCGAAAGAUUUUUAAAUUAUUGAAAUGUUGUCCCGUUACUUCGCGUAUUUGUAGUAGAUGUUGUUUGCGUGGCGCAAUUUGACUGUAGUCUUGCGUAUGCCCUUCUACGCUGGUAGCGCCUCUAGCGAGAAGUAGUGGAACCGCCAGUGAUGAUAAAGAGCUUG